UGCAAAUUCCUUACACCGGCAGUGUAUCAUAGCAAGUUCCUUACACUAGCAAAUUCUGUGUUUUUGUAUUUUUGUCGAUGCAAGCCUGUUCUUCGACUAUAAAAGGAGCAGAGAUUUCUUUUCUUGUCAAGUCUAAUCCUUUUUUGAUGCAUUGCAGAUUGCUAUGAAACUCUCAAAAAGGAAAAUCAGCUUUAUUCUAAUUUGGCAAAGCUUGGAGGAUAUUUUUACAGGUUCAACGCUUGCUUUAUUGCUUUCUUACCUUCCGUUCUUCAAGACAAUAUUUUCCUAGCAGUGCUCGAUAACUUUAAAUCCAUAUUUUUGUUCUUUGCAUUAUCAUAAAAUGGUGUUGUUCUAUCUUUUUGUUUUUUGAUUGAUCAUCAGCAACGACAAUGCAACCUACAUGUCCUACUUUUACUACUGAGCUUACCAUCAGAACCACAGCCCGAUGAGAACAUUCUAAACUAACUGAAGAUGGCUUCCUUCCCUUUUAUGGUACAUGCUUGGGAAUACUAAUUAUAGCUGACAGAAAAUGUGCUUUUUUAGCAUGAAGAUAAGAUGAUGGGAAAGGAUGAUCUUCAUGAGCCUCAGUGGUACUAUCAUAUUAUCAUAACUGCUGCAAAGUUCAUAUAAUGAUCCCUGUUUCAGACUCAGAUCAAAGGAACAAGCUGAUCAAUACGUUUCAGCCAUGGAAUACUGCGUCAGGAUAAAAGAUCGAGUUGAGCAUACUGCGAUGUUUUGACAGGAGAUUCCGUUAGCUUUCAGACAAAGUAAUCCAGUAGAUAGGUCAACAGAUUUUGAAGGAACAACAAGCCUUCAAUGAACUCAGCCGGUAAUAGAAGUAGCAAUUCUCUCAACACAUGCUCCACAGCACGACGACGGCGAGCAUCCGGAGAAAUCAUCUGCGUACAUCCUAAAGAUUGGUGAUGGAGAUGCUACCCAGUGCAUGAGUGGAUUCAUAGCCAUGGACAUUCCUCCUCCCUAUGGACCUAUCUGGUAAAAUUAUGCGCGGCUUAUGUUCUCAGAGCCUUCUGCUUUUAUCGACAUUGACCUCUUCUUAGUGUACU
Molecule: non-coding RNA, 1064 nt
Organism: Aegilops tauschii subsp. strangulata
Lineage: Eukaryota; Viridiplantae; Streptophyta; Magnoliopsida; Poales; Poaceae
Source: RefSeq, a predicted model, not a curated record